UACGUAGGGUGCAAGCGUUAAUCGGAAUUACUGGGCGUAAAGCGUGCGCAGGCGGUUUUGUAAGUCAGAUGUGAAAUCCCCGGGCUUAACCUGGGAACUGCGUUUGAAACUACAAGGCUAGAGUGUGGCAGAGGGGGGUGGAAUUCCGACGGUGUAGCAGUGAAAUGCGUAGAGAUGUGGAGGAACACCGAUGGCGAAGGCAGCCCCUGGGUUAACACUGACGCUCAGGCACGAAAGCGUGGGGAGCAAACAGG
Molecule: ribosomal RNA, 254 nt
Filed under: uncultured bacterium
Lineage: Bacteria
Description: partial 16S ribosomal RNA
Rfam family: Bacterial small subunit ribosomal RNA
Source: RNAcentral